UUUCCGUAGGUGAACCUGCGGAAGGAUCAUUAUUGUAUAACCGAGGUGCGAGGGCUGUCGCUGACCCGAAAGGUCGUGCACGCCCGAGUGCCCUCACACACAUCCAUCUCACCCCUAUGUGCACCACCGCGUGGGUCCCCCUUUGGCUUGUUCGGAGGGGGGCUUACGUUUUCACACAAACCUAGUAUGCAGUGUAGAAUGUAUUUUUUGUUUUUGCGAUCACGCAAUCAAUACAACUUUCAACAACGGAUCUCUUGGCUCUC
Molecule: unclassified non-coding RNA, 263 nt
Filed under: plant metagenome
Description: partial contains small subunit ribosomal RNA, internal transcribed spacer 1, and 5.8S ribosomal RNA
Source: RNAcentral